GUGGGGAAUAUUCCGCAAUGGACGAAAGUCUGACGGAGCAACGCCGCGUGAGUGAUGAAGGUUUUCGGACUGUAAAGCUCUGUUGUUUGGGACGAAAGUGCCUGUUGCGAACAGUUACGGGUAUUGACGGUACUAAACGAGGAAGCCACGGCUAACUACGUGCCAGCAGCCGCGGUAAUACGUAGGUGGCAAGCGUUGUCCGGAAUUAUUGGGCGUAAAGAGCAUGUAGGCGGGAAUCUAAGUCUGUUGUUAAAAUGCGGGGCUCAACCCCGUAUUGCGAUGGAAACUGGGUUUCUUGAGUGCAGGAGAGGAAAGGGGAAUUCCCAGUGUAGCGGUGAAAUGCGUAGAUAUUGGGAGGAACACCAGUGGCGAAGGCGCCUUUCUGGACUGUGUCUGACGCUGAGAUGUGAAAGCCAGGGUAGCGAACGGGAUUAGAAACCCCAGUAGUCC
This 450-nucleotide ribosomal RNA is filed under the name uncultured bacterium. RNAcentral describes it as "partial 16S ribosomal RNA". It matches the Rfam family "Bacterial small subunit ribosomal RNA", at positions 354 to 796 of the family's 1533-position model. The record is from RNAcentral.